GAGGACGCUCACCACUUUGUGGUUCAUGACUGGGGUGAAGUCGUAACAAGGUAGCGCUAGGGGAACCUGGCGCUGGAUCACCUCCUUAUACGAUGAU
Molecule: ribosomal RNA, 97 nt
Filed under: Vibrio vulnificus
Lineage: Bacteria; Pseudomonadati; Pseudomonadota; Gammaproteobacteria; Vibrionales; Vibrionaceae
Also listed under: 1 other name
Description: partial 16S ribosomal RNA
Rfam family: Bacterial small subunit ribosomal RNA
Source: RNAcentral